This 409-nucleotide long non-coding RNA is filed under the name Malus domestica (apple). RNAcentral describes it as "long non-coding RNA (MDOM_LNC004815)". The record is from RNAcentral. Lineage: Eukaryota; Viridiplantae; Streptophyta; Magnoliopsida; Rosales; Rosaceae.
GCUGCCGUUGAUCGUGGCUCUGGCGAAGUCGGACUUGGCUCAGUCGUCUCUGGUGGUGCGCCGCUGAGCAAGGAGUUGGCCCAGUCAUCGAUUUUUCAGGUGAGAUUCCAUUGAAACCCUAAGCCCUAAACCGACAUCACAUAUGUUGAAUCGUUGAUGCAUGCGUGAAAUUUGAAGCUUAUAUGUGAAAUUGAAGUUAAAAAUCGUGUUUUUGCAAGGUUUUUGGGACGAAAUCGGCUCGGGAAUAGGCACACCAUCUCCAGCGUUCUUCUCCGGCGUUCGAUAUCGGAGUCCGAUUGCACCGUUCAACAAAAUAUCUCGAUAUUUCCAAAAUAUCGCGAUAUUAUCGAUAAUAUCGCGAUAUUUUGACGAAAACCACACGGAUACCUAUUUAAAUAUCCAUUCCCCG